CCUACGGCGAGCAGCAGUGAGGAAUAUUGGUCAAUGGGCGGGAGGCUGAACCAGCCAAGUCGCGUGAGGGAAGACGGCCCUACGGUUUGUAAACCUCUUUUGUCAGGGAGCAAGGUGCAGGUCGGGACCUGCUGUGAGAGUACCUGAAGAAAAAGCAUCGGCUAACUCCGUACCAGCAGCCUCGGUAAUACGGAGGAUGCGAGCGUUAUCCGGAUUUAUUGGGUUUAAAGGGUGCGUAGGCGGACGCACAAGUCACCGGUAAAAUCGUGGGGUUCAACACGAAUUGGCCGUUGACACUGGGGGCCUUGAGUGCGUGAAGGGUAGGCGGAAUGCGUGGUGUAGCGGUGAAAUGCAUAGAUAUAACGCAGAACUCCGAUCGCGAAGGCAGCCUACCAGGGCGCAAAUGACGCUCAUGCACGAAAGCGUGGGUAUCGAACAGGAUUAGAUACCCGUGUAGUC
RNAcentral lists this ribosomal RNA (459 nucleotides) under uncultured bacterium. Its description in RNAcentral is "partial 16S ribosomal RNA". It matches the Rfam family "Bacterial small subunit ribosomal RNA", at positions 338 to 795 of the family's 1533-position model. The record is from RNAcentral.